Venturia canescens is the source of this 449-nucleotide long non-coding RNA. RefSeq lists it as uncharacterized. NCBI's taxonomy places the organism in Eukaryota, Metazoa, Arthropoda, Insecta, Hymenoptera, Ichneumonidae. The record is from RefSeq and is a predicted model, not a curated record. The transcript has 2 exons.
UGACGUUACCCGCACAUGCACUUGACGUUUUAUUAUUGAUCGUAAUGCGUCAAACAGGCAAUUGUGGCUGCAGAUUUUUUGAUUAUUAAAUAAUGUAUGUGCAAUCGCAUCGUGUGAAAGACUCUAACAGAGGAUUACCACGAUUGUUAAAAGUUUCAUUAUCACCCAGGAGGAGAAGGAAAAUGUGUAUGAUGGACGUUUUGUUUGCAAGUAACUACGAAGCAAUACAUCAAAAACACUGCGUUUAUGAAAACGAAAAAUACUUGUCGAUCCCCGGCGAAUUGAAGUUUCUCAUCGUUGUUGACAUCGAGCCCAGGAGAAAAUAGUGUGUAUAUACACUACUUUAUCAAAUAAAAAAAUGACUUUAACAGGCAAGGUAUCUCAUAAAUAAAUAUUGACAGCUGAAUAAAGAUGCCGGUGAGAUUUUCUCCUUUGGUAGCAAUACGGAA